RNAcentral lists this ribosomal RNA (819 nucleotides) under Triticum aestivum (bread wheat). Its description in RNAcentral is "partial small subunit ribosomal RNA". Lineage: Eukaryota; Viridiplantae; Streptophyta; Magnoliopsida; Poales; Poaceae. The record is from RNAcentral.
AUGGAGGUGUUCGACGAAGUGCACUUCGUGCGGCUCCGGUGCCGGGUGCGGCGGACCAAGUACCUGGCGGCGGACGACGACGGGCACGGCGUGUGCCUGUCCAGCCAGCGCGGCGCGCACAACACGGUGUGGGCGGUGCAGGCCAUGGAGGGCGCGGUGGAGGGCGCCGAGGGCGGGCCCUUCGUCCUCCUCCGCGGCGCCUAUGGCCGCUACCUCUUCGCCACGGAUGUGCAGGCCGCCACGGGGCCCGGCCACGGCGUCCAGGCCGCGCAGCAGGCCCGGCCGCACCCGAACACGCCGAGGUGCAUGCUCUGGCAGGCCAUCCGGCGGCAGGGCUCCUUCGUGAUCCGCAGCGCCGGGGGCCGGUACCUCCGCGCCAACGGCAAGUACGUCCGGUGGCGCACGGCCGUCACCGUCGCCGGGGACGACGCCAGCGCCAUGCUGCAGUGGGACGUCGAGGUCGUGCCCCUUCGCCUGGACCGCCCUACCCUCCUCGAUCCACCGCCACAGCCGAUGCGGAGGCGGCGCCGCCCGCCGACGGAGGAGGAGGUGGCGCGGCAGGUCCGGUACAUCCGCGCCGGCGUGGACGGGGACAUAGACGAGACAGGGUGGCGGACGGUGCGGAUCAGCACCAACAGCCUCAUGCAGCUGCGGCUGACGCUGGCCAACCUGCUGGGCCAGAACCGGUCGGCGCUCCACACCACGCUCUGCGUCCGCGCCGGUGCCUACGCCGACCUCUCCCCUCUCCUCAUCGACCUGCCCAUCGGCAACGACCGCCUCGACAUCGUCGUCAUCACCCACGGCACACCAGGUCCGUAA